CCUUAAGAAAGAUUGAAAUACAUUCAAACUGAAGGAGGAUAUUUCCUGUGAUCACUUGUUUUCAAUUUGAGAACAAGACACUGCAGUUACUUCAUCAGUGUGUUAUUGCAAAUAGAUAAGUCUCAAAAUUGGCAGUCCUUUGUUGUUGUGUACACUGUUAAAAAUUGCUGUUAAUUUACGGCAGAAUUUCAACAGUAUAAUCCUGUUAUGUUCAAAAGCAGUACAUUACUGUUUUUUUCGUUUUUGUGAAAUGACGUAGACACAAUAUAACGGCAUUCUACUGUAUUUAUAACUCGAAGGAAAUAAAACAUUACUAUCCAGUAUUUUUGUAAACUGCAGUGAGCACGCCGGGACUUUCAUCCGUCUUGUUAACAGGCAAGUUCCCCUUUGCUUUGCGCGAUUUCAUAGACAAAAUACAUUACAUUUGCUACUGUAACUAAUCUGUAUAGUGGAUAUCGGAAGUGACACUAUCUUUUAUUUGCUCUUUUCAGUGAUAAACGCGCCAAAUGCGACAUCAUCGAGUGCAACUGGAUUUCUGACUCUGUGACUCGGAUUAUAUUAUUCCCAAUUACAGGGUUCAGGUGAAACACCAGGAAGAAGAAUCCAGCACUGGAUGAUCAGCCUUGAGGAGCACAUCAUUUGUGAGGGCAUCCAGCCGGCUUUUCUGUCUGGGCUUGCAGCUGAUUUUUCUACUUACAACAAUUUCAAUCUUCAAUACCAAGCUGAAGACGCAUGCACGUUGGAAUUUAUUCAAAGGUGGUUCAUCGAGAUAAAUCCGGAAAAGGGACCAGGGCUGGAGGAGUCAUAUCAAAGCUGAUGGGGAAGGUCACCCAGAAAAAGAAAACCGUGAACCCUCGUGUCUGCAGUCUACUUAAAAAAAUUUAUGGAUUUUGAGUUGGACUUUAUACAAGUAUUACACACCACAGA
This is a long non-coding RNA of Onychostoma macrolepis, 927 nucleotides long. RefSeq lists it as uncharacterized. The transcript is spliced from 3 exons. NCBI's taxonomy places the organism in Eukaryota, Metazoa, Chordata, Actinopteri, Cypriniformes, Cyprinidae. The record is from RefSeq and is a predicted model, not a curated record.